Long non-coding RNA from Astatotilapia calliptera (eastern happy), 3637 nucleotides. Lineage: Eukaryota; Metazoa; Chordata; Actinopteri; Cichliformes; Cichlidae. The record is from Ensembl.
AUUUCCUCUCACAGGGGCACAGGGAUAUUGCUCAGGGAAACUACCAACAAUGAAGCUGUGGGAGAUAAGAAAGGAAAUGCUGUUAAAAACAGCUUUAACCGCGUUUGUCCUCUCAUGUUUCCUGGGACGUCUGGACUGUGAAGAAGAUCUUCACAGCUUAGUCUGGACAGAACGUCACUCUGACAUGUCGAGCUCCAAAUAUCAGUGUUCCCAUCAGAGCUGUGGAGUGGUUCAGACUUGACCUGCUGGAAGGACAUGUUCUCAUGUACCGGGGUGAGCAGUUUGUUUCAUUCAACCAGCUUCCAUCGUUUGUGAACCGGGUAGAUCUGCAGAACAGAUGGAUGCAGGAUGGAGACGUGUCUUUGGUUCUGAAGGAUGUGACAAGAAAUGACACUGGAACAUAUCAGUGUUAUGUCAUUCAGAGAGGAAAGAACCACAGGAAGUGCACUGUGGAACAUAUCAGCAUCAUCUACCUUCAUGUUGUUGCUCCAGGUCAACAAGGAGGACAGAGUGGAUGGACCUGCUGGACUGAAUGUUUGUCACUUUUUGCUUCUGUUGUUGCUUUUUCUAUGACCUCUUUUCACAGAAAAAGAUCUACACAGUGUCAUGGUCCCCGUGCCUGCUCAGCUGGCCCUGUGUGGCUACAUGUUAUGUUUUGUCUAUUCUCUCUCUCCUCUCUCUCUGCUCGCUGCCUGGGCGGAGCUCAUUGUGAGCUCCCGGCCUCCACCACCUGUAGGCAAUCACCUGUGGCUCCUCACCUUGUUUGGUGAUGGCAGCUACAUUGUAGCCACAGCUGCCCUGGGGCGCACUGACAGAGGCGAGGCUGCCGGACACAGGUGCCACCGGGCCCUCUGACCACCACCAGUAGGCAAACAUGGGGUUAGUAUCUUGCCUAAGGAUAUUUGGCAUGCAGCCAGGAGGCAGCCUGGGAUCGAACCACCGACCUUCUGAUUAGUGGCUGACCUGCUCUGCCACCUGAGCUACAGCCACCCAUGUUUGCUCCCGCUACUUAAGGCAGUGACUGAGAGCACCUCGCCGCUGGACUAUUGAGUAACGCUCAUUUCUCGUGCUUGGUUUGGGGACUCUGGACGCUUUUCCCGACUCCUCUCUGCACCCCUGGGAACCCUGGCCCCCUUCUCCUUCACCUGUAUAUAGUGCACCUGGAGUGUGUAAAUAAACCUGUUUUUCUGAGAUUUCAGUCUGCGCCGAGUCCUCCCUGCUCCUCCGUCACGGAGGUAAAAACAAAUCUUUUUUUACGAGUACAAAAUAUUUAUGACCACAUUUUGAGCCCAUAGAGUUUUCCUUUUUUUGAGUUGUUUCUGUAUGUGGCAUCCCUGUCCCCCCACUGGUAAACUCAUCUAUAUUGAUGUGCCUGUUUGUGCUUUUAUGUUAAAUCGUUACUAAUAAAUUGACAAUUUGCUUUAUCACUAGACCACGGCCCUCUAUUGAGUAUAACAGACCUGAGCAUCUUCCUGGUAAUUAGCAUUACUUCGAUCCAGUGUUCUCCGGGUGAAAUUCCAGGGUGGCGUUGUCGGUUGUCUGUUAAAUUGUGAAGAGUAUUUAUUCCAUCCCAGCCUUGUGCUGCCACAUUUAGUUUAAGAUCUACAUUCUGAUAUUCUGAUGAGAGAGAGGUUGAGUCUCCAUGAACAGCUUUACUGCUGCUGUUUGACAUCUUCGAUCCAGCUUAGAUUAUUCCCACUGAUGAUGAAAUGCACUAGCUUAAAAAAAGUCAGAAUGUGGAGUAUAAGAUGUCAUAUUUAAAUCCAGUAACAUGAAAAAAUGAUGAAAAAAUGAUUUAUUGUAAAUCUCUUCUUUUGGUCCAUCUGUGCCUCUUUCUUGGACCAACAGGGGGGCCGUGAUCCACACUUUGGGAAUCACUGCUAUAGUGACUCAAUGAUCUAUUUUUUUUGUGGGGUAGCAUGUAGAUUACUUUAUAUUCCUGUAAGAGUAUAUUUGUUUUAUUUGUUUGUUAUUAACAAAUUUUCAACAUGUAUUAUUACUGAGUGACGGCUUUGCUAAAUCCAGCUGUGAGCUUUUUGACUGUUUCUGGGGACACUGAGCAGCAGCACAGAUCUAUACUGUGACAGUAUAAUGGAUGGUAUGUGUGUUUAUUUAUUUAAUCACUUAGUCUCAGCUCAGCCUUUUUGCAUAUAAAUAUCUUCCAGUCAUACAAUAUGCCAGCAUGAUUUCAAGAUAGUAAGUUUAGACUGAUCGAAGCAGGAACUGAGUAAAAAUGUGACCUGAGUGUGAGGUAUGUCUGAAAGACAUACCUCACACUCAGACACUCAGGUUAGACCUGACUAACCCACAAUAAAUAAAUAAUCAAGUAACUAAAAAUUAUUUUUAUUCAGGCCAUGGUGUAAUAAUGAUCACUAAACCUUUGAAAAUAGUCCCUUUAACCUUCCUAACAUUAAAGAUGAUAUUUUAAUAAAAACGUAACAUAUUUACUUUUACAAAUAGAGACAAUAUGAACCAGAAAAACCUGUGUGGGCCUGUCACUGUGAAAAAUUUGAAGCCUCCAGUUUUUGUUUUUUUUGUUUUAUCUGAACCAGGAAGUGUUUUGAAUGCAGGGCAGAGCUCUGACUCUGCAACCAAAGGGUAAGGUUGAGGGUAAAAACCUGUUUCAGUGUAGCGUACAGGUGUUCAGCAGUACUGGGAACAGUGGGUGUGUUAGUGGAGGCGCUUAAUGAAAUGAUCCCAGGAAGCAGGUUGUGAGAUUUUUAUACUAUCCUAUGCCACCUUAUACUUCUAAUCAAAGAAUUGUCGAAUCAUUAUACAGCUAUAGGCCACAUUAUGUCUUGGAUUAAAGAUGUAAAAUCAUUACUGUUUUAUGAUGCACUAUACUGCUGAUUUAUAAGAAAUACUGUUUGUGAAGAAUCAUGGCCUUCCUUUUCUGAGUACAAAGAGAACAGAACAUACCGUAGAGCUUUUCUGCCCUAUCUCAUCAGGAGGAGAUAAAACAGGAAGCCAAGGUCGUCACGUAGGUGCCGUAAGAGAGAAAGAAUGUGAAUGCUUAGUGUGGCGGAGGGCUGAAGCUAUAAGACUGUGAGAAACGGUCAGACACUUUGACAUUUUGCAGGAAACCCCGCCUUGCUCAUCUCCUGUCAGGAUGUUUAAGCUCAAAGUGUGUAAGGAAUUAUGAGAAGUGUAUGGAAUAAAGAGAUUGUUGAUUGAGCAUUUAUAUACUGAGUGUUUAUACACCCACACACCAUCAGGCUGUUUAACUCCUCUCUGGAGGGGAGAGGGAGGGGAAACAGGAGGACAAAGGAGGGGGGAACAACUAAGCUGUAGUGCCUCUUCACUGUGCAAGGCUUUUUGUUAAUAACCAACGGUGCAAUAGACUCACAACAUUUGAAAUGUACAAUUCCCUUGUAUUCUUAUUCCUAUUUAUUCUAUUUAUCCCUUUUGUAUCCUCUGUAUUUAUAUAUGUGUAUAUAUGCUAUUCUGCUCACAUUCUGUAACUUCUGUUGGUGCUGUGCUAUUGGAAACUGAAUUUCUCAGAGGAAUCCACCCGAGGGAUUAAUAAAGUUUUAUCUUAUCUUGUCUCUCUUGUUGUUCUUCCUUCAGCCCAAACAACAAAGAUUUGGGAUAUUUAACAAGGUGUAGCAGGCCUCCUAUUUUCAUUACAGAUAACUCG